RNAcentral lists this ribosomal RNA (166 nucleotides) under uncultured Halomonas sp. Its description in RNAcentral is "partial 16S ribosomal RNA". It matches the Rfam family "Bacterial small subunit ribosomal RNA", at positions 338 to 521 of the family's 1533-position model. Lineage: Bacteria; Pseudomonadati; Pseudomonadota; Gammaproteobacteria; Oceanospirillales; Halomonadaceae. The record is from RNAcentral.
CCUACGGGAGGCAGCAGUGGGGAAUCUUAGACAAUGGGGGCAACCCUGAUCUAGCCAUGCCGCGUGAGUGAUGAAGGCCUUAGGGUUGUAAAGCUCUUUCAGCUGGGAAGAUAAUGACGGUACCAGCAGAAGAAGCCCCGGCUAACUCCGUGCCAGCAGCCGCGGU